CUAGAGUGAAUAUAGCUGCCAUUUCACAUUAGAUCUAAAAGGGGAACAUAAAGAGUUUUGUAUAUAUUUUGCAAAUCAAGACAACACAGUGCAGAACUCUAGUUCAACCAGCAGCACCAUGACUGUGUCCGCACCCAAAGCAUCUCUGGAAUCGCAGAACCCUCCUUUGUGGCAGUAGAGUUACUCUACCUCUGCUGAGGGGAGUGUGACUUCUGCUGACAUCUGGCAGCUGGCAUAAGGCACCUGUGGACACACCUGUUUCCUUUGGUGUCUGCUAUAGUCUUGUCUAGAUGGAGUCUAAGGCUCUCAAUAUUUUGUUCAACUUCUGCUUCAUAGGCCAGCAACAAAUCUAGGAAAGCUUGGGGCAUGGAGACUAAUAAUAAUUCAGCUUGGGUGAUAUUAGACCUGACUGACAUCCUCAAAUACAGUUUCCAGUUCCUUACAGUGUGAAGAUACAUGGAAGUCCUGGCAUAGGGGAAACUCUACAAGGGGUUGGAAUAGUGUGAAGCAUCAGAGUUGCAGAGGCUGCCGUGAAGCCUUCAUCCUGGCUGCUCAUUCCUCCUUUCUCUGUCGUGAUGGGGGAGAGGCUGGAAGAUGUGGAUAACCCUGCUUAUCUGCCUAUUUAGUAUUUAUAUUCUUAUAGAGUUCCAGGCCAGAGCCCAUAGUAUUAAGUACAGCACAAGUUGGUUGACUUUCUUCAGAGCUGUGCUCUCCUGAGGUACACAGGAUGUACCCAUCUUAUCUUAGCACCUUGCUUCCUACAUAGAAUAUGGCAGGAUUUGCUGCUAAAGACCUGAUUCUAUACUUCUUGUAUAUCCAAAUCUGGAUGCCUAGGGUUGCUGGCAUAGGUCCUAGCUUUGCCUGUACGCAGUGACGAAACAAGAAUUCUUGGAUUCCCAAGCCCAUGUCCUUCUACACAAAGUUUCCAGUUUCACCUAUACAAAACUGCCAGGCUAAUUACAAUGUUUAGUCAGUCAGAAAUUCAAUGAUCUAGGUAGUGCUUAGCCAGCGAGUAUGAGGAUUAAGUUGGGCUUAUUCACUUGAUAUCAUGCUCCUUUUCAAUGUGAUUCUAUGGUAUACAGAAAAUGCAUAGUGGAAUUUUUUAGUUUCAUCCAUGAUAACAUGCAAAAUUAGACUCAGUUUGAGCUGCAUAAGACCUUGUGAUUGCUAUACAGACAAAUCUUUCUUGCUUCAGAAGAAGAAAAGAAUAUCAUCUCAAGAUUAAGAUCAUAUUGAAUAACUGACCAUUUUGAUGUAUUUCCAUGAUUCUAUGAAUGAAAUUGGCAGUUUUAAGUUUAAAGGGUACAAUUUUUGUCUCCACUUAAGCUUUUAGUUUCAGAUGAGACCUUAAAAAAGUCAAAGUUUGAGCUGCUGUCUAUGAUUACUAAAGGUUCUGUGGCAUUUCUCCUCAGAGCUGGGAUUUUUUCUGAGUCCUCAGCCAAGAAAAUACCCUUUAUUCCUGUUACCAUGCAUCACUCUACUUCAGUAGCUUUUUUGUUGUAUUUCAAAACAGAACUGGCUUUUAUUUAGUCUAUACUAUGUAGAGUUUGAGAGGUGCAGUGAGAUAAGAAAGGCUAUAAAUAUUUAAAAUAUUACAAAUGAGAAAUGAAUAUAUAUCUGCCUUACUUUUAAGGCUUUGCUUGCCAUUGAAUGCUCCUGGGUAAUCCCCAGUUACUGUGAUGUUAAUGAGCAUUAUGCAAGGCAGUUCAGAAGAGACUUGAUCCUAUAAAUUCUUAGUUUAGGCAAAUAGUUUAAUUGACUUCAGUGAAACUAUUCAGCAUCAGAUAAAGCCCAAGUCUACAGCCCUUACCCAUGUGAAUAGUCCCAUUAACCUGAGUAAAGUUGAUUGCAUCUUGUUCAGCUUUGCAGAGAAGUAAAAUUUCUCAAGCAAAACCACUGCAAGCUAUAUAGGACUGACCUAUUUGCACCUUGGGUUUUGAGUCCUGAUGUGGGCCAGAUUACAGCCUUGCACACUGGAUAGUACAACCCACCUCAGAACUUGUGGGUAAGAAGAUGAAGUUGGACAGAAGUGUUUGCUUUCAGUGUCUCUUAUGCUUCCCUGAGCCAGUAAAAGGUGGGAAGUAUAUUGUACCCUGUAAAGAGGUAUUAUUGCAACUUCCUUCCCUCCACACCCAAUGGGGGAGAAGAGGAGAAAUUGUGAUUCAAAGGCACUGUUCAUUCCUGAUAGUCUCACUGAAGCACAGAUACACAUCUCUCCCUGCCCCAUUACUAAAGGAUGAGCAUAAAGGCUCAGUUUACUUCCAUGAAUUCUGGGGAAUUUAGGUCCUGACUUUGUGAGCUAUGAGAGCACCCAAUAUAGAGCAGGAUAAAUCUUGGAAUGGUGGAAGAGGAGGGAAGCACAACUAACACUCAGUAUAACUGCAGAUGUGUCAGCUGCUAGGGUAUGAAACAACACAAUGAGCUGUAGAGAAAAUAUUCUGGGAAAAGGAAACCUACACGUAAAUCAAAAAAUUGAAACAAAAAAGCAAAUAAGCUUUUUUGUGCAGGGAAAUAGCAGCCAUCUUCAGGAAACCAAUUCAACCUGACUAUUAAAUCACCAUGAGAAUAAGCAAAGUAAUAGCAAUGGCAGGCCAAAAUGGGAGUUCUUUUUCCAGUAUUAUUUUUUCCUCAAAGGCAAUCUUGAAAAGCAAAAGCAGACAGUUCUCAUUUCCCUGGAGUGGAGAGUCUCAAUAUAUAUAUUGUUUUUAGGAUUUUUUUCUUUAAUGUAAGUUUGUAGCCAGGCCUGACUUGUAUUCUAAGCUCCUAAUCAAGUGAUCAUUUUCUUGAUUGUUUUAAGGGUAUAUUUAUACUUGUUAAAAUUGUGGUGUGAUAUGCUGGCCUAUAGAACUCAAUGGUGAUUUGACAUUCAUUUAUAUAGGGCCAGAAAUUCUACAUGUAAUUUGAUUAGUUAUGUACAGCAAUUCUGUAUUUAACUAGCACUUCUCAUGAAUUAUAUCCAAAUGGAACAAAUAUUGUGUUUUCAACAGAAUAUGAUGUCUGCCAAAAAGUAUUUUUUAAAUUAUAUUAAUAUUUGUUUCUAUUCUUUAUCAAGUCCAGCAGAAAAUGAGACUAUUUAAAAUGUGUAUCCAAAUGUCUGGUAAUUGCCCCUGCAAGGGUUGAAUAUAAGAUGGUAAACUGUAAAUGGUGGGGCUUAUUUUGCAAUCACUGCAUAUUUGUAAUGCCCAUCGACCACAAGAAUUGUAUCCCUGUAAAAAGAAAACAGCUGAUAUACUUCUUAUGAGGACAAUCUUUACUCAUAAACCCAGUCCUAUCAAAGACAGUCAUAUACAAUGUUUGGGAUUACUUGGAUGAUCUAUGUCAGGUCAAACUGCUAGUCAUUUCUGUAUUAUUUCUUGCCUUAUUGGCUCCCUAGGGCCUGAUGCUGCAAAUACUUAUUGAGGCUCUUAGUUGUCCAAGUGAGAUGUGAGCAAUCCUGCUGAGUACCUGAACACGAUCCAAGGCAAGGUACCUCAGGUAAAAAUGUACUGUAUCCACACUCGGAAUCACAUGUGUCAAGGAAGUAUAAGCUAUUACUGUCUUAGAAGUUGCUGAAUGCUUCCUGUAACUUUACAUUAAGUUCUUAGAAGUGAUCGAUGGGAACUGCAACUGCUAACAUAUGGCAGAUUAGGGUCUCUAUGGCCCUGGCUACAUGUUAUACUUAAGACAUGAUUACUUGGUUAAUCACACCGUAAGUUGUGACCCAACUACAGAUUUAACCAAUUAAUGGUGUGAUAAAACAAGCAAUAAGGUACAAAGUUAUUCCACAAAACUGUGGAAUAAUUUUGCAGCUUGUUCUAAUCAUGCCGUUAAUUGAACAUGCAGCCAAGGGGGAGCCCCAUCACCUGAGGCACUCCCAGCCACUGGGGUGCACCACCCACUGCCAGCUCCGCAGUGAGGGUAGUGGGAAGAACGCUGCUGCUGCUGCGAGCCUUGUGAGGUGUGGGGCUUGCACCAGCAGCAGCUUUCUGUGUGCUGCCCCGCUGUGAGUCCCAAGCUGAUGGUGGCUGUGGGGCUCACAGCUGGGGCAACAAGAAGAAAACUGCCCCUGCUACAAGCAAGCCUUGUGCCGUACAGGGCUCACAGAGGGGGUAACAGGGAAAAUGCUGCUCCUGUUGCAAGCCCAAUAGCCAACAAAGCUCACAGUGGGGGCAGCAUUCCCGGUAUUGGCCCUGCUGUGAACCUUACAGCCAGUGGUGGCUCAGGACUCACAGCUGGGGCAAGACAGGGAAUGCUGCCCCAACUGCAAGCCCUGCUGAGCCCUGUUAGCUGCAGGACUUGCAGCAUGCGAGCCAGUGCUAGGGGAGCCCAGGUUUGUGACCCCAAACUCCCGCUGCACCAAUUAAAAGACACGAUGGGAUCUCAUGUGCAAUCCCACAAUUGCACCUCCUGCCACAUAUGUGUGGAUCAUGCAUUAUAAUCUCAUUGUGCCUUUACCUGCACAUGUAGAGGGGCCCUAAGAGUGAGAACAGGUGUUGCAGUAGUGCCUGCUCCUGAUCCAAUCUAUGCAAUUUAGAGAAACCUGAAUAGAUUGGAUUGAUUCUGCCUUGGGCUUUUUGAACGUCUGUACUUAGCCUGGGACUCCAUCUGGUGUGAGGACCAUCCUGAGCUCAGUCUGACAAAGGGUUUUUAUGCCUGAAAGCUUGCUAAGAAGAAUUUUUCCAACUAUUUGAGUUGGUCUAAUAAAAGAUAUCAGAUUUACCCAAAUAAUCUUGUCUGCCUAUGUCCUUAGACCAACACAGCUACAACCUACACCCCUGUAUUGAAAUCCAUGGAAUUUAAGCACAAAUUUAAACACAUAAUAAGAGUUUUGCUGAAUUUGGAACUAAGGAAAUUCAAGUUAACUAAAUAUCUGUCCCAGUGAUCAGGCUCCUAAUUUUAUGCUGAUUCUGGGUGGCAUCAUUGGUCUGCUAUCUAGCUUGUAACAAGGGGCGGCAGCACAUUGUUGAGCUGAAGCUGGUUUGGGAAUGACUUUUGGAGUAAAAAAUCUAACUCCUGGUCUGCUCACUUCUUUACUACAGCAGCAAGAAAUGACAGAUCUGUACCUUUUGCAGCAUACAUGCCUUGAUAUGCUGGCAUAACUAUGCCACUGGUUUUGUUGGAGGGCAGAAUCAGGGCUCUUUUUGCUUCCCAUUUUUUUGCUUCCCUCCACAAGGAUGGGGUGCAGUAGUUCUGCUAAGCCUUCAGAGUAGUGGUACAGUGCAAGGCAGUAACAGGGCUAUUUUCAUCCCCUGUAUUUGGUGAAGAUGGUAUAUAGUAUGGGACAUGAUCUGGCUUUCAUCACCUCUGUGGCAUCCUCUAAUCAAACUGUCUCCUGCUUUGUGUGCAAAAUCUGUGUGUUUUCUAAAAACCUAACUGUGUUAAUACCUUUUCUAUCCUGCAAAAGGGCUUCCAACAUGUGAUUUUUGAGGCCAAACUUCUAUGCAAGGUUUUGGGUUUUUUUGGAGGGGUGGUGGGGGUUAGUGCUAAAUUAAAGGAAACGGUUGUGUCAAAAGAAAAGAGGUUAGGACCAAUUCAAGCAAGAAAGCUUUCAAUUUAGAUAACUGUAAUGUACUAAUCUAUUCAGCAUAUUUUUUUCUGGGGCUUGCAUUUAUCCUUUUUUAAUUAAAUCAUUUCUAAGCUUUAAAA
This is a long non-coding RNA of Alligator mississippiensis (American alligator), 5625 nucleotides long. RefSeq lists it as uncharacterized. The record is from RefSeq and is a predicted model, not a curated record. The transcript is spliced from 4 exons. NCBI's taxonomy places the organism in Eukaryota, Metazoa, Chordata, Crocodylia, Alligatoridae.